UGAACGCUGGCGGUAGGCUUAACACAUGCAAGUCGAGCGAGAAAGUAUCUUCGGAUAUGAGUAGAGCGGCGGACGGGUGAGUAACGCGUAGGAAUCUACCUAGUAGAAGGGGAUAGCCCGGGGAAACUCGGAUUAAUACCGUAUACCUCCUUAGGGAGAAAGAGGGCCUCUCUUGAAGCUCUCGCUAUUAGAUGAGCCUGCGUAAGAUUAGCUUGUUGGUAAGGUAAUGGCUUACCAAGGCUACGAUCUUUAGCUGGUCUGAGAGGACGAUCAGCCACAUUGGGACUGAGACACGGCCCAGACUCCUACGGGAGGCAGCAGUGGGGAAUAUUGGACAAUGGGCGCAAGCCUGAUCCAGCCAUACCGCGUGUGUGAAGAAGGCCUUCGGGUUGUAAAGCACUUUAAGCAGGGAGAAAAAGCUAUAGGUUAAUACCCUACAGCCUUGAUGUUACCUGCAGAAUAAGCACCGGC
This 471-nucleotide ribosomal RNA is filed under the name uncultured Pseudomonadota bacterium. Its description in RNAcentral is "bacterial SSU rRNA". It matches the Rfam family "Bacterial small subunit ribosomal RNA", at positions 30 to 497 of the family's 1533-position model. The record is from RNAcentral. Lineage: Bacteria; Pseudomonadati; Pseudomonadota.